GGCCUUGUAGUUCAAUUGGCUAGAGCUUGGCUGUACUACAGCCUUCCCUUUGCUGGCGUGGGUUCGAAUCCCACCGAUAUCC
This 82-nucleotide transfer RNA is filed under the name Schistocephalus solidus. It matches the Rfam family "tRNA". From Rfam's summary of the family: Transfer RNA (tRNA) molecules are approximately 80 nucleotides in length. The record is from Rfam by way of RNAcentral. Lineage: Eukaryota; Metazoa; Platyhelminthes; Cestoda; Diphyllobothriidea; Diphyllobothriidae.